CCUACGGGCGGCUGCAGUGGGGAAUAUUGCGCAAUGGGCGAAAGCCUGACGCAGCGACGCCGCGUGGGUGAUGAAGGCCUUCGGGUUGUAAAGCCCUGUCGGGUGGAACGAACGAUCUGGCGGCGAAUAACCGCCGGGUGUGACGGUACCACCGAAGGAAGCCCCGGCUAACUACGUGCCAGCAGCCGCGGUAAGACGUAGGUGGCGAGCGUUGUUCGGGUUUACUGAGCGUAAAGCGCGCGUAGGCGGCGAAAUCCCUCGGGCUAACCGAGGUACCGCAUCCGAGUCCGUCUGGCUCGAGUCUAGGAGAGGAAAGCGGAAUUCCCAGUGUAGCGGUGAAAUGCGUAGAUAUUGGGAGGAACACCGGUGGCGAAGGCGGCUUUCCGGACUAGUACUGACGCUGAGGCGCGAAAGCUAGGGGAGCGAACGGGAUUAGAUACCCCUGUAGUC
RNAcentral lists this ribosomal RNA (450 nucleotides) under uncultured bacterium. Its description in RNAcentral is "partial 16S ribosomal RNA". It matches the Rfam family "Bacterial small subunit ribosomal RNA", at positions 338 to 795 of the family's 1533-position model. The record is from RNAcentral.